CGAAUUCGCCCUUCCUACGGGAGGCAGCAGUGGGGAAUUUUACGCAAUGGGGGAAACCCUGACGUAGCGACACCGCGUGGGCGAAGAAGCCCUCUGGGGUGUAAAGCUCUGUCAGCAGGGACGAAAAAAAUGACGGUACCUGCAGAGGAAGCAUCGGCUAACUACGUGCCAGCAGCCGCGGUAAGACGUAGGAUGCAAGCGUUGUCCGGAUUCAUUGGGCGUAAAGAGUUCGUAGGCGGUUUGUUAAGUCUGAUGUUAAAGAUCAGGGCCCAACCCCGAGAGUGCAUUGGAUACUGGCAGACUGGAGUGCAGUAGAGGCAAGUGGAAUUCCCAGUGUAGCGGUGAAAUGCGUAGAUAUUGGGAAGAACACCGGUGGCGCAGGCGACUUGCUGGGCUGUAACUGACGCUGAGGAACGAAAGCUAGGGGAGCAAAUGGGAUUAGAUACCCCAGUAGUCCUAGCUGUAAACGAUGGAUACUAGGCGUUGCAGGUAUCGACCCCUGCAGUGCCGCAGUUAACGCGAUAAGUAUCCCGCCUGAGUAGUACGGCCGCAAGGUUGAAACUCAAAGGAAUUGACGG
This 578-nucleotide ribosomal RNA is filed under the name uncultured bacterium. RNAcentral describes it as "bacterial SSU rRNA". It matches the Rfam family "Bacterial small subunit ribosomal RNA", at positions 325 to 916 of the family's 1533-position model. The record is from RNAcentral.